This is a long non-coding RNA of Nicotiana tabacum (common tobacco), 522 nucleotides long. RefSeq lists it as uncharacterized. The record is from RefSeq and is a predicted model, not a curated record. NCBI's taxonomy places the organism in Eukaryota, Viridiplantae, Streptophyta, Magnoliopsida, Solanales, Solanaceae.
GAUGAUUCUCCUGAAAGUAGCACACAAAUGAGCAUGCUUAUUACUUAUAAUUAGUACUCUUUUAAAAGACCAAAAUGGUUGCGCCUUUGAGGAAAGUUUCUAGCCUUAGAUUAGGACAAUUUACUUUCCCUCCGUGCGCACCCUGCAGUAGUAAUGUAAUAUCUACCUGCCUAAAGCUGAAACCAUGUUUGAAGGAGGGGAAGCCGAAAAUUUGCCUACAGCAGCUGCCAAAGGUUACUAGCUAGAUUGAGAAACAACAAAAUCUAACCGAAGGCUAAUAGAUCAUCAGUGGUGUAACAAAAGAAGGCAGAACAGGCAGGAAAUUAAAGGUAAAACAGGAAACUCAAGUGUUCAAAGAAAAAAAACCAAAAAAGAUCGGGCUGGAAGAUUGACAUAGACAAUCUUAUUUGCUUGUGAGAGCAAAUGUACACUUGUGAUGGAUAUUAUUUGCUUUUUCUUUUCACUUGUGAGAAUUACUGCUGAAUUUAAAUGCUUCUUGGUUGAGUUUAACCAAGUACCACA